RNAcentral lists this ribosomal RNA (436 nucleotides) under uncultured eukaryote. Its description in RNAcentral is "SSU rRNA". It matches the Rfam family "Eukaryotic small subunit ribosomal RNA", at positions 1217 to 1674 of the family's 1831-position model. The record is from RNAcentral.
AUCAGGACAACAAAGUUUUUAGGAUUGACAGAUUGAUAGCUCUUUCUUGAUUGACUUAAUGGUGGUGCAUGGCCGUUCUUAGUUGGUGGAGUGAUUUGUCUGGUUAAUUCCGUUAACGAACGAGACCUUAACCUACUAACUAGUACGACGUGACGAACGUUAGUUACUUCUUAGAGGGACAAUGUGUAUUUUUAACACAAGGAAGUUUUAAGGCAAUAACAGGUCUGUGAUGCCCUUAGAUGUCCUGAGCCGCACACGCGCUACAAUGACACUUUCAAUAAGUUUUUGCUGGUCCGACAGGAUUUCGGCUAAUCUUUUAGUAAGUGUCGUGCUAGGGAUAGAUCUUUGCAAUUGUGGAUCUUGAACGAGGAAUUCCUAGUAAGCACAAGUCAUCAGCUUGUGCUGAUUACGUCCCUGCAAAAUGUACACAUCGCCC